AUAAAACCAUUUAUUACCAUUUAAAAUAAAAGUCAAUGGACUACACUUUUGAUUUGGUUACAAAACAGACACAGCAUUAAAAGCUAUUCAUGAGAGCACUCAUUUGGUGUGGAAAUAAUUCCUUGUUUAAAAAGAAAACGAUUUCUCCGAUACGUGCGGGGGGGUGGGGAAAAAAAAGUCUCACUUUGGAUCAAAUCCCUUAGAAUUGUAAAUCUCGAUACUGUAAAAUCAAAAAAAAAAAAAUACAACGAAGGUCUAAAUAACCCGUUGAAAAUAAAAUACUCAAAUAAUUAGGUCCCUCUCUUCCUUAAGGAAAAAGAAAAUAAAAGGAAAAAUGAAUUUAUUUUUUUUUUAAACAUUUUUCAUCUACAUGAUUCCCAUAAAAGAGAAUAAAACCACAACUUAAUUCCAAAAAACUUUCACUUAUAAAUUUAAAUAUUGUGCAAUUGCGGGGUGGGGGGGGGGGGGGAAAACCAGGCUAAUAAAUUGUAAAAGGCAUUUAAAAGUAUUUAAAAGCCAAAUCAGUGGAAGGUCUAACCCUACAAUGCAGAAGCAUUAGAAACAGCACUAAAAUGUUCGCAGAUUUUUCUUCCCAAGAGAUGAAAACUUUGGAAGGAAAUGAGGAGCGUCAACACACCUCUGCCAUCGUUUACGAUCUACCUAUCUCGCCGGUUUAAUCGCUUCCACCCCCACCGACACCGGUCCUGGUUCGAGCAGGAAGCCGAGCAGAAGACGGGAAAACUGAAAGCAAACACAGCUUCCAACGUGGACAAAACGUGCAUGUAUUUGUUUACGACGGUGUUAUUUUUUUAUUCCCCGUUUCCCAGGCUUGCCAAUUUUCUGAUCUUUUUAUUUUUAAAACGGGGGGGGGGAAAAAAGUGCAUUUCAUCUCGAUCCUCCCAAAAUAAAGUUCAAAUAAACACCCUUCUGUCUACACGGUUGCUCUGAGGGUUGCCGGUACGCAUUUCCCCGCUCUGGUUUUUAAACUCAAAACACAUUUGAACGAGUCGGAUGCACUGGAUUUUGCUGAACAAAGCACUGCCAAGAAGCGGGUGCUCCUCGCGUCUCCUCCAGAACGGGGACCCACCCGCCAGACCACCGCUGCCUGCAAGCAUCGAGAUGGGGGGUGCGAAGGGGGUUAUUUUGUUUUGUCGUCUGUCCGUAGCAAAGGAAAAGCUCGACUGAAUUUUGCACGGAUGCCUGAACACGAAAGGAAAACGACUCCCAAAAAACAAACAAAAAAAUGAUAUGUAGGGGUUUUCCAGGUUGCAAAUCGCCCAUGCGGCUCCAAAGCAGCUUGUAUUAAAAAAACAAACAAACCCAACACAGCAAAAAACUGAACUGACGCUCUGGAUGAACAUACGUUUUAUCUUGAGGCAACAGGAUUAAAAUCAUCAGAAACUGAAACAACAGGUCAUCAAAAAUUGCUUUGCCAAACAGUUCCUAAAAUGCACCAGUUUCCAAAGCCCACGGUUUGUUUAGAGCUUUCUGCCUUCCCAAGAUUUUUUUUUUUUUAAAUAAGCAACUUGUUAAAAAAAGCCCCAUAAAGCAAAGAACCCAACUUCUAGUUACAUAGCUUUCCUUUUCCACUUUCAUACAGAGCAGCAUCGCAAGAUUGCCGCUUUUCUUUCUUUUGCAAGAAAUAAUGUGCAUUUUCAGGGGCCCCCCCCCCCACUCCUCUUUUAAAUCAAAGUUAAACUAACAUUUUGUUUCCCAAGGGUUAAUAAAUAAAUCUGGUGCAUAGUGAUAUAGCAGCCAACUGAUUGCAGUCCAUAUAUUAUUAUAUUGCCUUUCUGGUCAUCUUAGAAUGUUAACGUUUUUCCCCCCCAAUAUUUUUAAGAGCAUAGAUAAUUUUAAAUCUCUAUAAAACAACAGUAUUACUUAAUCCAAUUGAUUCCUGUAUAUAGUGCAUUCGGCUUUAUCAACAUCAUUAAAUUAAUUCUUAUAUUAUUUGCAUGCUAUUACAUACAAACUUUCAUUAAGACUUGUGUUUAUUUUAUUUUUUUUUAAGAUUUUUUUUUUCCUUAAAUCACCAAGCAAAAUAUAGGCUCAGAAAAAAAGGCAAAAAACUAACUAAAUUCUACAUAUGUACAAGUGGACACCUUGAAAUAAGUUAAGUCUGGCUCAGGUUUCCUUUUUUUUUUAAAAAAAACGAAACAAAAGAAAACAAACAAAAAAACCCAACAACUUUAACAACAAGAAUAUUAAUAAGAAAAAGGAGGGAGAUAAAAAGCAGGUAAACUCAACCCUUUUUGUCGUCUGAAGUCCCAAGACACAUAUCCCAGCCCCUUGUGUGUGUGUUUUGCUGCACUGCUCCAUUGAGAGAGAAAACAUCACUUUGCAAACAUUUGUUUAAGACUAUUCGUUUUUGUUUAAGACGCACCCCAGAAGUGCUGCAAACAGAAAACUGAACGUUUGGGGAUGGGGGAAAGGAAAAAAGAAAAAAAAAAAAAAAAAAAAACCCAAAAAAAUUUUAAAAAGAAAAAAAAACAGGAUCAUGCUUUUUUUUUUUUUUUUUUUUCUUCAUCUGUUCUAGUACAAAAGAAAAAAAAAGGGCAGGGGGGGCGAUUAUUGAAAUACCAUACAUGUCCUGCAUGCAGGAUUGCUUAAAAAGUCUUCUAAGAACCACAGGUAACAGCUUCUCGGCACGGCUCCUCGGAGGCUGCUUUCUUGGGGCGAAGGGCGAUACAGGAAGAUUUCACCACGGGCUCUCUCUUUCCUCCCCGCAACACGCUGCGUGUCACCCAGUUUCCAGGAGAACAAAAAAAAAAGAUAAAAUAAAAAA
Long non-coding RNA from Alligator sinensis (Chinese alligator), 2785 nucleotides. RefSeq lists it as uncharacterized. Lineage: Eukaryota; Metazoa; Chordata; Crocodylia; Alligatoridae. The transcript has 2 exons. The record is from RefSeq and is a predicted model, not a curated record.